Triticum aestivum (bread wheat) is the source of this 135-nucleotide non-coding RNA. Lineage: Eukaryota; Viridiplantae; Streptophyta; Magnoliopsida; Poales; Poaceae. The record is from Rfam.
UUAAUACUCCCUCCGACCCAAAAUUCGUGUCUUAAAUCUGUCUAAAUACGGAUGUAUCAAGUCACGUUUUAGUAUUAGAUACAUCCGUAUCUAGACAAAUUGAAGACAAGAAUUUUGGGAUGGAGGGAGUAGAUG